AAAACGACUCUCGGCAACGGAUAUCUCGGCUCUCGCAUCGAUGAAGAACGCAGCCUCAAAC
Molecule: ribosomal RNA, 61 nt
Filed under: Emblica saffordii
Lineage: Eukaryota; Viridiplantae; Streptophyta; Magnoliopsida; Malpighiales; Phyllanthaceae
Description: Phyllanthus saffordii partial 5.8S ribosomal RNA
Rfam family: 5.8S ribosomal RNA
About the family: 5.8S ribosomal RNA (5.8S rRNA) is a component of the large subunit of the eukaryotic ribosome. It is transcribed by RNA polymerase I as part of the 45S precursor that also contains 18S and 28S rRNA. Functionally, it is thought that 5.8S rRNA may be involved in ribosome translocation.
Source: RNAcentral